Molecule: ribosomal RNA, 975 nt
Filed under: Klebsiella pneumoniae
Lineage: Bacteria; Pseudomonadati; Pseudomonadota; Gammaproteobacteria; Enterobacterales; Enterobacteriaceae
Description: partial 23S ribosomal RNA
Rfam family: Bacterial large subunit ribosomal RNA
Source: RNAcentral
CCCCGGCGAGGGGAGUGAAAAAGAACCUGAAACCGUGUACGUACAAGCAGUGGGAGCACCUUCGGGUGUGACUGCGUACCUUUUGUAUAAUGGGUCAGCGACUUAUAUUCUGUAGCAAGGUUAACCGUAUAGGGGAGCCGCAGGGAAACCGAGUCUUAACUGGGCGUUAAGUUGCAGGGUAUAGACCCGAAACCCGGUGAUCUAGCCAUGGGCAGGUUGAAGGUUGGGUAACACUAACUGGAGGACCGAACCGACUAAUGUUGAAAAAUUAGCGGAUGACUUGUGGCUGGGGGUGAAAGGCCAAUCAAACCGGGAGAUAGCUGGUUCUCCCCGAAAGCUAUUUAGGUAGCGCCUCGUGAACUCAUCUUCGGGGGUAGAGCACUGUUUCGGCUAGGGGGUCAUCCCGACUUACCAACCCGAUGCAAACUACGAAUACCGAAGAAUGUUAUCACGGGAGACACACGGCGGGUGCUAACGUCCGUCGUGAAGAGGGAAACAACCCAGACCGCCAGCUAAGGUCCCAAAGUCAUGGUUAAGUGGGAAACGAUGUGGGAAGGCACAGACAGCCAGGAUGUUGGCUUAGAAGCAGCCAUCAUUUAAAGAAAGCGUAAUAGCUCACUGGUCGAGUCGGCCUGCGCGGAAGAUGUAACGGGGCUAAACCAUGCACCGAAGCUGCGGCAGCGACACUAUGUGUUGUUGGGUAGGGGAGCGUUCUGUAAGCCUGCGAAGGUGUGCUGUGAGGCAUGCUGGAGGUAUCAGAAGUGCGAAUGCUGACAUAAGUAACGAUAAAGCGGGUGAAAAGCCCGCUCGCCGGAAGACCAAGGGUUCCUGUCCAACGUUAAUCGGGGCAGGGUGAGUCGACCCCUAAGGCGAGGCCGAAAGGCGUAGUCGAUGGGAAACAGGUUAAUAUUCCUGUACUUGGUGUUACUGCGAAGGGGGGACGGAGAAGGCUAUGUUAGCCGGGCGACGGUUGUC